AGGGCACCACCAGGAGUGGAGCCUGCGGCUUAAUUUGACUCAACACGGGAAAUCUCACCAGGCCCGGACACCGGAAGGAUUGACAGAUUGAGAGCUCUUUCUUGAUUCGGUGGGUGGUGGUGCAUGGCCGUUCUUAGUUGGUGGAGCGAUUUGUCUGGUUAAUUCCGAUAACGAACGAGACUCUGGCCUACUAACUAGACGUUAGAUCCCUUUGUGGGUCUAUCGCAGCUUCUUAGAGGGACGGGCGGCGUUUAGCCGCACGAGAUUGAGCAAUAACAGGUCUGUGAUGCCCUUAGAUGUUCUGGGCUGCACGCGCGCUACACUGAAGGAAUCAGCGUGUGUUCCCUGUCCGAAAGGACUGGGAAACCCGUUGAACCUCCUUCGUGAUGGGGAUUGGGGAUUGCAAUUAUUCCCCAUGAACGAGGAAUUCCCAGUAGGCGCGAGCCAUAAGCUUGCGUCGAUUACGUCCCUGCCCUUUGUACACACCGCCCGUCGCUACUACCGAUCGAGUGAUUUAGU
This 519-nucleotide ribosomal RNA is filed under the name uncultured eukaryote. RNAcentral describes it as "SSU rRNA". It matches the Rfam family "Eukaryotic small subunit ribosomal RNA", at positions 1161 to 1702 of the family's 1831-position model. The record is from RNAcentral.